AACUUUUCAUAUCUACUCAGAUUCAGCGCCCAUCAUUAAAACCUUGCACCUUAUGAGCUAUCAUUCAGAUUCGCUAACAGAUGAAGCUUGAAUAAGAAUCACGGAUCUUCGGACUUUUCUUGAAAGUUCUAAUCAAUUUAGCUAUGGAUGGUCUUCAAGAUAUUCUAAAAAUGCUGUAGUUGCAGAUCGAUUGGCCAACUGGGGGCUCACUAGCAACAAACUGUCUUUUUGGUCCUCUGUAGAUGAAUUCUCUCAAAUUGUACCUCCCGUUUGAUAAAUAAAUUCGCCUUCGGGCGUGUUUUCCCUAAAAAAAAAAAAAAAUCUCCCAUCUCGCAUACAAAAUUUAUUUAAACUUUAAAUCAUUUUGAAUCGACUAUUUAAUCUUUCAAAAUUUUGAUUUUACUAUCCGACAUUCAAUUUGUUUGAGUUAAGUUAGUCUACGAUACUUUAACUUUAAAAUUUAAACUAAUUACUUACUUUUAUAAAUUUAUAGUCGUGAGAAUUACAUCAUUAUACUAACUAAACUUGUAAAGUCAAACAAUGCAUUCAAAAUUUGAAUUUAAAUUAUCCUUAAUUGAGUGAAAUCAAAUAAAUUGAAAGAUU
This 603-nucleotide long non-coding RNA is filed under the name Ananas comosus (pineapple). Its description in RNAcentral is "long non-coding RNA (ACOM_LNC022000)". Lineage: Eukaryota; Viridiplantae; Streptophyta; Magnoliopsida; Poales; Bromeliaceae. The record is from RNAcentral.